Molecule: ribosomal RNA, 406 nt
Filed under: uncultured bacterium
Lineage: Bacteria
Description: bacterial SSU rRNA
Rfam family: Bacterial small subunit ribosomal RNA
Source: RNAcentral
AUCGAACGCUGACGGCAUGCCUUACACAUGCAAGUCGAGCGGCAGCGUGGGGGCAACCCUGGCGGCGAGCGGCGCACGGGUGAGUAAUACAUCGGAACGUGUCCUUUCGUGGGGGAUAACCAGUCGAAAGAUUGGCUAAUACCGCAUGAGAUCUCACGAUGAAAGCGGGGGAUCCGAGGGUAACUUCGGGCCUCGCGCGAUUGGAGCGGCCGAUGUCGGAUAGCUAGUUGGCGGGGUAAAAGCCCACCAAGGCGACGAUCCGUAGCUGGUUUGAGAGAACGACCAGCCACACUGGGACUGAGACACGGCCCAGACUCCUACGGGAGGCAGCAGUGGGGAAUUUUGGACAAUGGGGGCAACCCUGAUCCAGCCAUGCCGCGUGUGUGAAGAAGGCCUCGGUUGUAAG